Molecule: long non-coding RNA, 299 nt
Organism: Pundamilia nyererei
Lineage: Eukaryota; Metazoa; Chordata; Actinopteri; Cichliformes; Cichlidae
Exons: 3
Source: RefSeq, a predicted model, not a curated record
AGGAUGCUGAAGCAGGAAAUCAAUCGAAAAUCCCACUUGCCAUAGCCAUUAUUGUACCUUGUACAUGUUUCCUGAUCUUUCUAAUUACUAUUGUGAUCAUUCAGAGAAAAGUCUCCAAACGACGUUCACGCUCUCGUUCUCCCGCUUCAAUAAUGGAGCAGAAAGAAGAUAUUUAUGAAAACUGCCUGGAACUUGAAAAUCGCCGACGUAGUCAAAUUCAGGUUCAACCUUACAAAUACAGAGUUCAAUGAUAUGGACCACACAUAGUAAAAAAAGACUCAACUUUUUAUAGCAACAGA